AUCCAGCUAACGAGUCCCAAAUAGUACGAAACACAUGUCCUAGAU
RNAcentral lists this non-coding RNA (45 nucleotides) under Schistosoma mattheei. The record is from RNAcentral. Lineage: Eukaryota; Metazoa; Platyhelminthes; Trematoda; Strigeidida; Schistosomatidae.